Molecule: non-coding RNA, 224 nt
Organism: Pelobates cultripes (western spadefoot toad)
Lineage: Eukaryota; Metazoa; Chordata; Amphibia; Anura; Pelobatidae
Source: the annotation of a GenBank genome assembly
AAGAGAAGGGUUUUUAAUAGUUAUUUUGUAGAACAUUCUAACAUUUAUUGUUUUUACUACAAAUAAACAUUUCCUCUGCAAAUGGUAAAAACAUUCUAAUCUAAAUGAGUGACAUCUUGCCUUUUGUACAAUCCUAUUAAUGCAUAAACUACCAGAGAGCUAUGUUCUCUAGUCUUUCGUCAUAUCUUGAUCCUUUCAUUCACAUUUCUCAUUUUACUAGCAGC